This is a non-coding RNA of Bos taurus (domestic cattle), 72 nucleotides long. NCBI's taxonomy places the organism in Eukaryota, Metazoa, Chordata, Mammalia, Artiodactyla, Bovidae. The record is from Rfam.
UCCCUGGUGGCUGAGCUGGUAAAGAAUCCGCCUGCAACGUGGGAGACCCUGGUUUGAUUCCUGGGUUGGGAA